GUGCAAGUAUUGUUUUAAUUAAAUGCACACUGAAGAUAGUCUAUAUGUCAAUUUGUAAUUUAAAAAAAAUAUUAAGCUUUGUUUCAUGUAUUUUCUAAGAUUACUUAAUCUUUAUUAACUUUAUGUCCCCUGCACACAACACUUUUUGCAGUAGCAUAGAAAUACCAGAUGUCUAUCUGUAUAGUCUUGAAAGCACUCUCACAUAUACAAUUCUUCCCAGAUUUUUUCGUUCUUAUAUCAAAGGUUUAUAUCUGAAAACUUUUGAAAAUUGCAAAACUUAAGGGGCAUUCGUGUACUGACUCACAUUCCCCUUUUAUGUUAAAAAAAGUUAUGCCCCUUGAAAAUAUGAAUUAUAUUGAAAUUGCCUUGGAAGUGCUGUUCAAGGCCACCUUUCUUCUAUAAAGAUAUUUUUUGUUAUUCAAAAUAUUGCCCAUGGACAAAUAAACUAUGCACAAUUCAAUGGAAUUUUGUUCCUUUGUUCACCUUUCAUUUAUAACAAUAAAUUUCCAGAUGCUUAUUAGUAUUAUUAUAAAACGUUUGAAAGUGUGAUACACACCAAUUUCUUACGGGCAAAAAAUGUAAAAAAAGAAAAUUCAUGAGUUAUUUUCAUCCAAAGGGAAAACGAUGGCAAAUAUGAAAUGUCAGUCAUGUUUGAUAAAAUAAUUUAACAGAUUAAAAAC
RNAcentral lists this long non-coding RNA (680 nucleotides) under Mytilus galloprovincialis (Mediterranean mussel). Lineage: Eukaryota; Metazoa; Mollusca; Bivalvia; Mytilida; Mytilidae. The record is from RNAcentral.